CCUACGGGUGGCAGCAGUGGGGAAUAUUGCACAAUGGGGGAAACCCUGAUGCAGCGACGCCGCGUUAGUGCAGAAGUAAUUAGUUAUGUAAAGCUCUAUCAGCAGGGAAGAAAAUGACGGUACCUGCGUAAUAAGCCCCGGCUUACUCCGUUCCAGCCGCCGCGGUAAUACGUAGGGGGCAAGCGUUAUCCGGAUUUACUGGGGGUAAAGGGGGCGUAGACGGCAGUGCAAGUCUGGAGUGAAAGGCGGGGGCUCAACCCCCGGACUGCUCUGGAAACUGUACGGCUGGAGUGCAGGAGAGGUAAGUGGAAUUCCUAGUGUAGCGGUGAAAUGCGUAGAUAUUAGGAGGAACACCAGUGGCGAAGGCGGCUUACUGGACUGUAACUGACGUUGAGGCUCGAAAGCGUGGGGAGCAAACAGGAUUAGAUACCCCGGUAGUC
RNAcentral lists this ribosomal RNA (440 nucleotides) under uncultured bacterium. RNAcentral's name for it is "partial 16S ribosomal RNA". It matches the Rfam family "Bacterial small subunit ribosomal RNA", at positions 338 to 795 of the family's 1533-position model. The record is from RNAcentral.